ACUGAUGAUAUCUGGGCAGAAGCUCUUAGAGAACCCCUUAAACUCUGUAUCUCUUGGAUGCGUCCUUGAGUGGUGAGUCUUUUAUUUUCUAGUUCUGUAUCCUCGUUUAAUUUCCGUUGGGUGGUGAACUUUCUGUAUCCCAUUGCGAUUUUAAACUUGGUGGUGAGCUAUAUUUCGUUUUACCGAAGUUUCUUCAAGAGUUCGUUCAUUGCCUUCUGUGAUAUUUUCUAUCUGUACAACUGUUAUAUCGGUUUUCUAUCGACAUCCAUUCUGCAUUUUUCCCUCCCCGGUAUCA
This 295-nucleotide long non-coding RNA is filed under the name Musa acuminata (dwarf banana). Its description in RNAcentral is "long non-coding RNA (MACU_LNC004028)". Lineage: Eukaryota; Viridiplantae; Streptophyta; Magnoliopsida; Zingiberales; Musaceae. The record is from RNAcentral.